Sinocyclocheilus grahami is the source of this 157-nucleotide long non-coding RNA. RefSeq lists it as uncharacterized. The record is from RefSeq and is a predicted model, not a curated record. The transcript has 2 exons. Lineage: Eukaryota; Metazoa; Chordata; Actinopteri; Cypriniformes; Cyprinidae.
ACCAGAACGAUGGGAAACAAAACUACACACAAGUCUCAAGCACAACUCAAGGGUUACAAAAUCCCGAAGACAACUAAUGAUAAAAGACAAAAAGAGAACUGGAAAACAACCUGUUAAACAGUCAACCCUGAUGAAAUGGCAUGCUUUAAUGUUUGUU